This 270-nucleotide ribosomal RNA is filed under the name uncultured bacterium. Its description in RNAcentral is "partial 16S ribosomal RNA". It matches the Rfam family "Bacterial small subunit ribosomal RNA", at positions 793 to 1055 of the family's 1533-position model. The record is from RNAcentral.
GUCCACGCUGUAAACGAUGUCGACUAGCCGUCGGAUCCAUUUAAGGGUUUGGUGGCGCAGCUAACGCGAUAAGUCGACCGCCUGGGGAGUACGGCCGCCCCCCCAAGGUUAAAACUCAAAGGAAUUGACGGGGGCCCGCACAAGCGGUGGAGCAUGUGGUUUAAUUCGAUGCAACGCGAAGAACCUUACCAGCCCUUGACAUCCUCGGAAUCCUGCAGAGAUGUGGGAGUGCCUUCGGGAGCCGAGAGACAGGUGCUGCAUGGCUGUCGU